This 788-nucleotide ribosomal RNA is filed under the name Salmonella enterica subsp. enterica. Its description in RNAcentral is "partial 23S ribosomal RNA". It matches the Rfam family "Bacterial large subunit ribosomal RNA", at positions 402 to 1191 of the family's 2925-position model. The record is from RNAcentral. Lineage: Bacteria; Pseudomonadati; Pseudomonadota; Gammaproteobacteria; Enterobacterales; Enterobacteriaceae.
AGCUCGAUGAGUAGGGCGGGACACGUGGUAUCCUGUCUGAAUAUGGGGGGACCAUCCUCCAAGGCUAAAUACUCCUGACUGACCGAUAGUGAACCAGUACCGUGAGGGAAAGGCGAAAAGAACCCCGGCGAGGGGAGUGAAAAAGAACCUGAAACCGUGUACGUACAAGCAGUGGGAGCACCCUUUGGGGUGUGACUGCGUACCUUUUGUAUAAUGGGUCAGCGACUUAUAUUCUGUAGCAAGGUUAACCGAAUAGGGGAGCCGGAGGGAAACCGAGUCUUAACCGGGCGUUAAGUUGCAGGGUAUAGACCCGAAACCCGGUGAUCUAGCCAUGGGCAGGUUGAAGGUUGGGUAACACUAACUGGAGGACCGAACCGACUAAUGUUGAAAAAUUAGCGGAUGACCUGUGGCUGGGGGUGAAAGGCCAAUCAAACCGGGAGAUAGCUGGUUCUCCCCGAAAGCUAUUUAGGUAGCGCCUCGUGAAUUCAUCUCCGGGGGUAGAGCACUGUUUCGGCUAGGGGGCCAUCCCGGCUUACCAACCCGAUGCAAACUGCGAAUACCGGAGAAUGUUAUCACGGGAGACACACGGCGGGUGCUAACGUCCGUCGUGAAGAGGGAAACAACCCAGACCGCCAGCUAAGGUCCCAAAGUCAUGGUUAAGUGGGAAACGAUGUGGGAAGGCCCAGACAGCCAGGAUGUUGGCUUAGAAGCAGCCAUCAUUUAAAGAAAGCGUAAUAGCUCACUGGUCGAGUCGGCCUGCGCGGAAGAUGUAACGGGGCUAAACCAUG